Molecule: ribosomal RNA, 253 nt
Filed under: uncultured bacterium
Lineage: Bacteria
Description: partial 16S ribosomal RNA
Rfam family: Bacterial small subunit ribosomal RNA
Source: RNAcentral
UACGUAGGGUGCGAGCGUUAAGCGGAAUUACUGGGCGUAAAGCGUGCGCAGGCGGUUCGGUAUGGCCGAUGUGAAAGCCCCGAGCUCAACUUGGGAAUGGCAUUGGAAACUGGCGGGCUGGAGUGUGGCAGAGGGGGGUGGAAUUCCACGUGUAGCAGUGAAAUGCGUAGAGAUGUGGAGGAACACCGAUGGCGAAGGCAGCCCCCUGGGCCAACACUGACGCUCAGGCACGAAAGCGUGGGGAGCAAACAGG